CUUGGGAUUGACUUAGGAGGGUUGGCAACGACCCCCCAGAGCCGAAAACUUGGUCAAACUCGGUCAUUUAGAGGAAGUAAAAGUCGUAACAAGGUUUCCGGAGGUGAACCUGCGGAAGGAUCAUUACCGAGUGAGGGCCCUCCGGGUCCAACCUCCCACCCGUGUUUAUUUUACCUUGUUGCUUCGGCGGGCCCGCCUUAACUGGCCGCCGGGGGGCUUACGCCCCCGGGCCCGCGCCCGCCGAAGACACCCUCGAACUCUGUCUGAAGAUUGUAGUCUGAGUGAAAAUAUAAAUUAUUUAAAACUUUCAACAACGGAUCUCUUGGUUCCGGCAUCGAUGAAGAACGCAGCGAAAUGCGAUACGUAAUGUGAAUUGCGAAUUCAGUGAAUCAUCGAGUCUUUGAACGCACAUUGCGCCCCCUGGUAUUCCGGGGGGCAUGCCUGUCCGAGCGUCAUUGCUGCCCUCAAGCACGGCCUGUGUGUUGGGCCCCGUCCUCCGACCCCGGGGGACGGGCCCGAAAGGCAGCGGCGGCACCGCGUCCGGUCCUCGAGCGUAUGGGGCUUUGUCACCCGCUCUGUAGGCCCGGCCGGCGCUUGCCGAUCAACCCAAAUUUUUAUCCAGGUUGACCUCGGAUCAGGUAGGGAUACCCGCUGAACUUAAGCAUAUCAAUAAGCGGAGGAAAAGAAACCAACAGGGAUUGCCCCAGUAGCGGCGAGUGAAGCGGCAAGAGCUCAAAUUUGAAAGCUGGCUCCUUCGGGGUCCGCAUUGUAAUUUGUAGAGGAUGCUUCGGGAGCGGUCCCCAUCUAAGUGCCCUGGAACGGGACG
Molecule: ribosomal RNA, 826 nt
Filed under: uncultured Penicillium
Lineage: Eukaryota; Fungi; Ascomycota; Eurotiomycetes; Eurotiales; Aspergillaceae
Description: eukaryotic LSU rRNA
Rfam family: 5.8S ribosomal RNA (bases 303-455)
Source: RNAcentral